Molecule: ribosomal RNA, 312 nt
Filed under: uncultured Nephroselmis
Lineage: Eukaryota; Viridiplantae; Chlorophyta; Nephroselmidophyceae
Description: partial large subunit ribosomal RNA
Rfam family: Eukaryotic large subunit ribosomal RNA
Source: RNAcentral
AUAUUACUAAGCGGAGGAAAAGAAACUAACAAGGAUUCCCCUAGUAACGGCGAGCGAACCGGGAAGAGCCCAACUUGAAAAUCUGGCAGCUUCGCUGUCGGAAUUGUAGUCUAAAGAAGCGUCCUCUGUAGCGGACCGGGCCCAAGUUCCCUGGAAUGGGACGUCAGAGAGGGUGAGAGCCCCGUCGACCCCGGACCCUGCUACUCCACGAGGCGCUGUCGCCGAGUCGGGUUGUUUGGGAAUGCAGCCCUAAAUGGGUGGUAAAUUCCAUCUAAGGCUAAAUACUGGCGAGAGACCGAUAGCGCACAAGUA